GGGGAUAUACCGGAUAGAUCACUUCGGCUGGAAGGCGUUGUGGUUGAAACUUCCGGGGCUUUUGGAUGGGUCUGCGGCUGAUUAGGUUGUUGCCGGUGUAAUGUACCGUCAAGCCUGUAAUCAGUACGGGUUGUGGGAGCAAGAGCCCGGAGAUGGAUUCUGAGACACGAAUCCAGGCCCUACGGGGCGCAGCAGGCGCGAAAACUCUACAAUGCAGGCAACUGCGAUAGGGGAACAUCGAGUGAUCCUCAUAUUGGGGGUCUGUCCACCCGCCUAAAAAGCGGGUGUUAGCAAGGGCCGGGCAAGACCGGUGCCAGCCGCCGCGGUAAUACCGGCGGCUCGAGUGGUGGCCGAUAUUAUUGAGUCUAAAGGGUCCGUAGCCGGCUUUGCAAGUCUCUCGGGAAAUCCAGCGGCUUAACCGUUGGGCUGUCGGGGGGUACUACAUUGCUUGGGACUGGGAGAGGUAGGAGGUACUCAGGGGGUAGGAGUGAAAUCCUGUAAUCCUUUGGGGACCACCGGUGGCGAAGGCGUCCUACCAGAACAGGUCCGACGGUGAGGGACGAAAGCUAGGGGCACGAACCGGAUUAGAUACCCGGGUAGUCCUAGCCGUAAACGAUGCUCGCUAGGUGUCACAACAGUCGUGAACUGUUGUGGUGCCGUAGGGAAGCCGUGAAGCGAGCCAC
This 683-nucleotide ribosomal RNA is filed under the name uncultured archaeon. RNAcentral's name for it is "bacterial SSU rRNA". It matches the Rfam family "Archaeal small subunit ribosomal RNA", at positions 143 to 827 of the family's 1478-position model. The record is from RNAcentral.